Long non-coding RNA from Papaver somniferum (opium poppy), 688 nucleotides. RefSeq lists it as uncharacterized. Lineage: Eukaryota; Viridiplantae; Streptophyta; Magnoliopsida; Ranunculales; Papaveraceae. The record is from RefSeq and is a predicted model, not a curated record. The transcript is spliced from 2 exons.
GCUUUUCGGAUUUUUUCUGUCUUCUAUAAGAUUCCAACAUAACUUUGUUUUUGCCAAAAGUCAUCUACUUCUGAUUUUCACUCAACUGUAAAGGAGAAAAAUUGUAACUUGGAGAUCUAAAAAUUGAGUUCAACCCAUCAACUGUUUCCGGUGUAUUUGUCUCCUCCAAAGAGUACGAGCGGAGCUUGCAGCAGUAAGCCGGGCAGAGCUUACAGCAGGCCCUGCAAGCGUAGAAAGUUAGUAUCUUGCUGUCUCUAAUGUGUAUAUCACGGGGUUGCUGGGUAGUUUAGAAAUGAAAAACAUCCAUGCCUAUUUUCCUGUCGUUCUUUUGUGGAUACCGCCAUAUUUUUGAUGUGUAUAGUGGCUGUUUAUUUUGCAACGAAAUGACAGGUUUGGAUCAAGUAUGUAAAGUUUUAAGGUCUGUUUAGAUUCGGUGUACACAAAACCUCUUAUGGAACUUAUAUUUCUUGAAAUGCUAAUGUAUGAGCAUGCUUCCGUAUAUGUAAAUUAAUUUCCCUUUGGACUUGUUUUCUUCUCAUGUAUACUUGGCUUGUUUUUCACUGUUAAAAAGAAGUGUACUGUGUGCAUUAACUUUGCCUGAAUCUCCGAAGUGAACUGCCUAAUAAGUUUUCUCUUUACAUGUUAUCCUCUAGUAAUCAAGUGAUACUAGUGGUGGGUUUUAUUUGGA